RNAcentral lists this ribosomal RNA (245 nucleotides) under uncultured bacterium. Its description in RNAcentral is "partial 16S ribosomal RNA". It matches the Rfam family "Bacterial small subunit ribosomal RNA", at positions 524 to 768 of the family's 1533-position model. The record is from RNAcentral.
GACAGAGGGUGCAAACGUUGUUCGGAAUUACUGGGCGUAAAGCGCGUGUAGGCGGUAAGGCAAGUCGGGUGUGAAAGCCCUGGGCUCAACUCAGGAAGUGCAUUCGAUACUGCCAAGCUAGAGUCCCGGAGAGGAUGGUGGAACUCUCGGUGUAGAGGUGAAAUUCGUAGAUAUCGAGAAGAACACCGGUGGCGAAGGCGGCCAUCUGGACGGUGACUGACGCUGAGACGCGAAAGCGUGGGGAG